GGAUUAGUGUUAGUGUAUGGGUUAGGAUUAGGGUUAGGAAUAUGGACUGUUUAGGAUACAGAUUAGGGUAUGAAAAUGGUUUAGGUUUAGCAUACGUUUUAGGGUAUGGGUUAGUGUUAGUGUACGGGUUAGUAUUAGG
Long non-coding RNA from Aethalodelphis obliquidens (Pacific white-sided dolphin), 139 nucleotides. RefSeq lists it as uncharacterized. Lineage: Eukaryota; Metazoa; Chordata; Mammalia; Artiodactyla; Delphinidae. The transcript has 3 exons. The record is from RefSeq and is a predicted model, not a curated record.